GCAAAAUCCUGGCUUGCUGGAGAAAUCUUUUUCUCUUAUGCUGAAGACUCCAAGAUUUAUUGAUUUUGAUAACAAGAGAUUCCACUUCCGAUCAAAAAUUAAACAUCAACAUGACCAUCACCACAGCCCAUUAAGAAUAUCAGUGAGAAGGGCGUAUGUUCUUGAGGAUUCAUAUAACCAGCUUCGCAUGAGAUCAACUCAAGAUUUGAAGGGAAGGUUGACUGUUCAUUUCCAAGGUGAAGAAGGUAUCGAUGCAGGUGGGCUUACACGGGAAUGGUAUCAAUUGUUGUCCAGAGUUAUUUUUGACAGAGGAGCACUGCUCUUUACUACAGUAGGCAAUGAAUCAACAUUUCAGCCAAACCCUAACUCUGUUUACCAAACAGAACAUCUAUCUUAUUUCAAAUUUGUUGGUAGAGUGGUUGGAAAAGCUUUAUUUGAUGGUCAGCUCUUGGAUGUCCAUUU
Molecule: small RNA, 462 nt
Filed under: Vigna angularis var. angularis
Lineage: Eukaryota; Viridiplantae; Streptophyta; Magnoliopsida; Fabales; Fabaceae
Description: Non-protein coding transcript
Source: RNAcentral